Molecule: ribosomal RNA, 727 nt
Filed under: uncultured bacterium
Lineage: Bacteria
Description: bacterial SSU rRNA
Rfam family: Bacterial small subunit ribosomal RNA
Source: RNAcentral
CAACUCGCACCAAGCCCCCUGGCCCCCGAUUCCUUCGGAACCGCGGGAGCCUUGCGACUGAGUGGCGGACGGGUGAGUAAACGCGCGGCAACCUGCCUUGCAUGGGGGGAUAACAGCCAGAAAUGGCUGCUAAUACCCCCUAAGACCGAAGCCCCGCAUGGCGCGGCGGCAAAGCCCCGGCGGUGCAAGAUGGGCCCGUGUAUGAUUAGGUAGUUGGCGGGGUAACGGCCCACCAAGCCGACGAUCAGUAGCCGACCUGAGAGGGUGACCGGCCACAUUGGGACUGAGACACGGCCCAGACUCCUACGGGAGGCAGCAGUGGGGAAUAUUGCACAAUGGGGGAAACCCUGAUGCAGCGACGCCGCGUGAAGGAUGAAGUAUUUCGGUAUGUAAACUUCUAUCAGCAGGGAAGAAGAUGACGGUACCUGACUAAGAAGCCCCGGCUAACUACGUGCCAGCAGCCGCGGUAAUACGUAGGGGGCAAGCGUUAUCCGGAUUUACUGGGUGUAAAGGGAGCGUAGACGGCGAUGCAAGCCAGAUGUGAAAGCCCGGGGCUCAACCCCGGGACUGCAUUUGGAACUGCGUGGCUGGAGUGUCGGAGAGGCAGGCGGAAUUCCUAGUGUAGCGGUGAAAUGCGUAGAUAUUAGGAGGAACACCAGUGGCGAAGGCGGCCUGCUGGACGAUGACUGACGUUGAGGCUCGAAAGCGUGGGGAGCAAACAGGAUUA